This 389-nucleotide ribosomal RNA is filed under the name uncultured Pelobacter sp. RNAcentral describes it as "bacterial SSU rRNA". It matches the Rfam family "Bacterial small subunit ribosomal RNA", at positions 958 to 1347 of the family's 1533-position model. Lineage: Bacteria; Pseudomonadati; Thermodesulfobacteriota; Desulfuromonadia; Desulfuromonadales; Desulfuromonadaceae. The record is from RNAcentral.
AACGCGAAGAACCUUACCUGGGCUCGAACGGCUUCAGACCAUCUUUGGAAACAGAGACUUCCCGCAAGGGACUGGAGUCGAGGUGCUGCAUGGCUGUCGUCAGCUCGUGUCGUGAGAUGUUGGGUUAAGUCCCGCAACGAGCGCAACCCUUGUCCUGUGUUGCAACCCCCAAAGGGGCACUCUCAGGAGACCGCCAGCGAUAAGUUGGAGGAAGGUGGGGAUGACGUCAAGUCAUCAUGGCCUUUAUGUCCAGGGCUACACACGUGCUACAAUGGGCGGUACAAAGCGCAGCGAAGCCGCGAGGUGAAGCAAAUCGCAAAAAACCGUUCUCAGUUCGGAUCGCAGGCUGCAACCCGCCUGCGUGAAGCUGGAAUCGCUAGUAAUGGCGU